GUCUCCAGGAGGGAGAGUGCGGAGCUGUGGAAGGUGGUGCUGGGUCUGAAUAACCUGGACCAUCCGGGUGUUCACAGUCAGAGCCGCGGGGUGCGCUCCAUCAUCGUCCACCCACGGUACAACCGGGCGGUGGUGGACUACGACAUCAGCGUGGUGCAGCUGGAUUCAGAGGUGACGGAGACGGCGUUCGUCCGACCGGUGUGUCUCCCUCGGCCGGAGCAGCUUCCUGCUCCAGACUCCUACUGUUACAUCACAGGCUGGGGACACAUGGGCAACAGGAGUCAGUACACACACACACACACACACACACACAGCAACACACACACACACACACACACACACAAACAGAGACACACACACACACACAUACACACAGACCUACACUAAAAAUGUAGUGCCCACUUAAUGU
Long non-coding RNA from Etheostoma cragini (Arkansas darter), 409 nucleotides. RefSeq lists it as uncharacterized. The record is from RefSeq and is a predicted model, not a curated record. The transcript is spliced from 2 exons. NCBI's taxonomy places the organism in Eukaryota, Metazoa, Chordata, Actinopteri, Perciformes, Percidae.